RNAcentral lists this ribosomal RNA (491 nucleotides) under Pseudomonas sp. CL4.123. Its description in RNAcentral is "bacterial SSU rRNA". It matches the Rfam family "Bacterial small subunit ribosomal RNA", at positions 17 to 502 of the family's 1533-position model. The record is from RNAcentral. Lineage: Bacteria; Pseudomonadati; Pseudomonadota; Gammaproteobacteria; Pseudomonadales; Pseudomonadaceae.
CCCUGGCUCAGAUUGAACGCUGGCGGCAGGCCUAACACAUGCAAGUCGAGCGGAUGACAGGAGCUUGCUCCUGAAUUCAGCGGCGGACGGGUGAGUAAUGCCUAGGAAUCUGCCUGGUAGUGGGGGACAACGUUUCGAAAGGAACGCUAAUACCGCAUACGUCCUACGGGAGAAAGCAGGGGACCUUCGGGCCUUGCGCUAUCAGAUGAGCCUAGGUCGGAUUAGCUAGUUGGUGGGGUAAUGGCUCACCAAGGCGACGAUCCGUAACUGGUCUGAGAGGAUGAUCAGUCACACUGGAACUGAGACACGGUCCAGACUCCUACGGGAGGCAGCAGUGGGGAAUAUUGGACAAUGGGCGAAAGCCUGAUCCAGCCAUGCCGCGUGUGUGAAGAAGGUCUUCGGAUUGUAAAGCACUUUAAGUUGGGAGGAAGGGCAGUAACUUAAUACGUUGCCGUCUUGACGUUACCGACAGAAUAAGCACCCGGCUAACU